RNAcentral lists this ribosomal RNA (148 nucleotides) under Olea europaea subsp. europaea. Its description in RNAcentral is "5_8S_rRNA". Lineage: Eukaryota; Viridiplantae; Streptophyta; Magnoliopsida; Lamiales; Oleaceae. The record is from RNAcentral.
UAUUCUUUACUGCAUUUCGGUUCUCACAAUGAAGAACACAACAAAAUACGAUGCUUGCUAUAAAUUGCAUAAUCUCAUGAACUAUGAAGUUUUUUAAUGUAAGUUGUGUACAGAGGCAUUAUGUCGUGGCAUGUCCACCUAGAUAUCA